AUGUGCCCUAGAGCGCACGGCGGCGCUGCGAUGGUGAGAGCGAGAGCGAGCAGUGCUGCUAGCGCGCACUCGUUUGCGGAGGAGGAGUACAUCGACCUGGAUCUCAGCUCCUGCGGGGAGUACCAGUUCCGGGUGUGCCGGAGCAAACCCGCGGCGCCCUGCCCGUGCCCGGACGAGCUGGUCCGGCGGGCCAGGCAGCACAAGGUGGCGCCGAGGCCGGGGGGCAAGCUGCUUGACGCGGACGCCGGCGCCGCAGGCGGCUGCGGCAGAAGGGGCACCGCCACGGUCGCGCCAUUGCAGCACUCCUCGCAUGCUCCACCGCACGCGGGCCGGCGCAGGAAGCCCGGCAAGGCCAUGCAGGCGAGGCUGCAGGCGUCGCGGGCCUUCCUCCGGUCCCUGUUCGCCAGGACCUGGUGCUCCGACGAACGGUGCCGCGGCGUUCGGUCCGGGAGCAGGGCCACGCAUGACAGGGACAAGGGCGUCGGCGUCAGCGGCAAGUCGGCGUUUGGGCAAAUCAACAAGAGCUACGUGAGCGGCAGCGCGGCCCCGACGACGCUGAGGAGCAGCAUUGAGCGGGAGAAGCUGAUGGAAGAGGAGGAGCACGUCCGGCAACGCAAGUCCUUCUCCGGCGUGAUCAAGUGGCGACCGACGACAGCGGCGUCGUCGGCGCGGAGGAACUCGUGCGGGAGCGCCCCGGCCCUGAAGAGGAGCAGCAGCUGCCGGUCGGAGUCGGAGGGGCUGAUCCAGGGCGCCAUCGCCUACUGCAAGCGGUCGCAGCAGCAGCGCGUGCUCCUCGCCAGGAAGAGCGUCAGCGACGCCGCCCUCUGCUCCUUCCGUGCCCCUUCCUAG
This 849-nucleotide ribosomal RNA is filed under the name Triticum aestivum (bread wheat). RNAcentral's name for it is "partial small subunit ribosomal RNA". Lineage: Eukaryota; Viridiplantae; Streptophyta; Magnoliopsida; Poales; Poaceae. The record is from RNAcentral.